Molecule: long non-coding RNA, 428 nt
Filed under: Elaeis guineensis (African oil palm)
Lineage: Eukaryota; Viridiplantae; Streptophyta; Magnoliopsida; Arecales; Arecaceae
Description: long non-coding RNA (EGUI_LNC056911)
Source: RNAcentral
GCCUAAUUGGGUUAUAAGAUAACCUAUUGCAUAGGAGAAUAAUUUCUUGUUGAAUUAGAGUUUGAGUUUGACUAAAUUUAUAAUUAGAUUAGGAUCUAAAUAAGAAUGUUUGAGUUUCUAUUUGGACUAAAAAUUUUUAUCUUCAUGGUUGCUCCAAAUCUUAAUUGGAUUAGGAUUAAAUUGAGUUUGACUCGAGCACCAAGAGAGAGUCCAAAAGGACUAGGACUCCUUCUCUAAUUAGAUGACAUCUAAUCUAAAUAGUUUGAGCUCCUAAUCAAAUUUAGAUUUUCAUCUAUUUAAGUCUAAUCAAUUUCUAAUAUGAUUAAGAUUGGUUAAAAUUUUAAUUGAUUUAAUUCAGCCAUAUAAAGAAGAGUCCAAUAUGCUUUAAACUCCUUCAUCUCCAUGUGCCAUAAAAGCCCCACGCCCAA